This 498-nucleotide ribosomal RNA is filed under the name uncultured bacterium. RNAcentral describes it as "partial 16S ribosomal RNA". It matches the Rfam family "Bacterial small subunit ribosomal RNA", at positions 28 to 523 of the family's 1533-position model. The record is from RNAcentral.
GACGAACGCUGGCGGCGUGCCUAACACAUGCAAGUCGAGCGGAGUCAGUAAGAGGAAGUUUUCGGAUGGAAUCUUAUUGAUUUAGCGGCGGACGGGUGAGUAACGCGUGAGCGACCAACCUUGCACAGGGGGAUAACGGACCGAAAGGUUCACUAAUACCGCAUGAGACCACGGUGUUGCAUGACACAGUGGUCAAAGGAGCAAUCCGGUGCAAGACGGGCUCGCGUCCGAUUAGGUAGUUGGAGGGGUAACGGCCCACCAAGCCUAUGAUCGGUAGCCGACCUGAGAGGGUGAUCGGCCACAUUGGAACUGAGAUACGGUCCAAACUCCUACGGGAGGCAGCAGUGGGGAAUAUUGGGCAAUGGGGGAAACCCUGACCCAGCAACGCCGCGUGAAGGAAGAAGGUUUUCGGAUCGUAAACUUCUGUCCUUGGUGAAGAGAAGAAGACGGUAGCCAAGGAGGAAGCCCCGGCUAACUACGUGCCAGCCGCCGCAGUAA